This 164-nucleotide unclassified non-coding RNA is filed under the name Trichoderma piluliferum. Its description in RNAcentral is "partial internal transcribed spacer 2". Lineage: Eukaryota; Fungi; Ascomycota; Sordariomycetes; Hypocreales; Hypocreaceae. The record is from RNAcentral.
CAACCCUCGAACCCCUCCGGGGGUCCGGCGUUGGGGAUCGGCCCUUUACCGGCCGGCCCCGAAAUACAGUGGCGGUCUCGCCGCAGCCUCUCCUGCGCAGUAGUUUGCACACUCGCAUCGGGAGCGCGGCGCGUCCACGUCCGUAAAACACCCAACUUCUGAAA